This 613-nucleotide long non-coding RNA is filed under the name Neogale vison (American mink). RNAcentral describes it as "Neovison vison (American mink) lncRNA (ENSNVIG00000013488.1)". Lineage: Eukaryota; Metazoa; Chordata; Mammalia; Carnivora; Mustelidae. The record is from RNAcentral.
CAGGGGCCGCAGCGCGGGGUUUUCUGGUCGUGGUAUUUACGCUUUGCCCCCGGCGCCGCCGUCGCGUGGAGAGGCUGCGCAGGUCGCGCGGCUCGGAUCUCCGGUGUGGGGCCGUCCCGGGCGGUCUGUCCGGAGCCGCGAGCCGGUGGGCGCUGGAGGGAGUGGGUGGGGCUGCAGGUGGCGCGCCUGGAGGACCUCGGAGUCGGAAGAGACGAUGGCCGCGGGGCCCCUGGCAGGCCGCCCUCGGGACCUUGGAACCUCAAGCCAGAUUCUGUUGCCCACCUAGAACUUGGAAUAGAGCAGUGCAUGAUGGACAGAGGGCUCUCCCAAGAUUCCCGCCUAGGUGAGAUGGGAAAGGAUCUUUACAGUCAGUGUUUGUUUAUAUGUUCCUUCAUAUCUUCCUUCUCUGCUGCUUUUCAUUACCUUUUCAUUUCCAUAAUUCCAUCUGGGAUCAUUUUCCUUUUGCUUAGAGUUCCCUUUAUCAUUUCUUUUAGAGUGACAAAACGCCUUCAUUUUGUGUUUGCCUGAAAAUGCCUUUAUUUCAUCUUCAUUUUGGAAAGAUACUGUAAACAGAAUUUUAGGUUGUCGGGUUUUGGGUUUUGUUUUUUUUUUU